GGAUUUGGUGGAGGGAGGUUGUGUCUCAUAGACGAUGGUGCUGUGGAUUUGGUGUAGGGAGGUUGUGUCUCAUAGAUGAUGGUGCUGUGGAUUUGGUGGAGGGAGGUUGUGUUUCAUAGAUGGUGCUGUGGAUUUGGUGGAGGGAGGUUGUGUUUCAUAGAUGGUGCUGUGGAUUUGGUGGAGGGAGGUUGUGUUUCAUAGAUGGUGCUGUGGAUUUGGUGGAGGGAGGUUGUGUUUCAUAGAUGGUGCUGUGGAUUUGGUGUAGGGAGGUUGUGUUUCAUAGAUGAUGCUGUGGAUUUGGUGGAGGGAGGUUGUGUCUCAUAGAUGAUGGUGUGGAUUUGGUGGAGGGAGGUUGUGUUUCAUAGAUGAUGCUGUGGAUUUGGUGGAGGGAGGUUGUGUCUCAUAGAUGAUGGUGUGGAUUUGGUGGAGGGAGGUUGUGUUUCAUAGAUGGUGCUGUUGAUUUGGUGGAGGGAGGUCGUGUCUCAUAGAUGGUGCUGUGGAUUUGGUGGAGGGAGGUCGUGUCUCAUAGACAUCAGCUUCUUGCCGUGUCCUCUUGUGGAAGUGAUUUCUCCUGGGAUCAUGAGUGCCCUCAUGCAAGUGCCCCCUGAACUCUGUGGCAGAAGGGUUCGAUCCUACCCCAGGCACCCCCCUUAUCACCGCCCGAGGCCCCACCUCACAACAUCAUCUUAUGGGUAAGGAUUUCAGCAUAGGAACUUCAGGGGAAUCCCAGACAUUCAGUGUUAUGGGUGGGGUCACUCGGUGUGUGGCCCUCACCGUGGUGGCGCGGUCGGCGGUCCCUUCCUCUCCGGCGCUGAGCAGCAUUCUCUGUGUGGGUCUCUGUGCCUGUGCACCUGCUGAAGGGCCACUGGGGCUUCAGCUUUUUGGCUUUUAGGAAUAAUGCUGCCAUGGGGCUCAGUGUGUGGUGAGUAGUGGACAGAAGGCUCUGUCCUGGUGGGUGCCCUUCCGUGGCCUGAGUUGGGAGAUGAGGGCUGGCAGGGGCCUGUGGACGAGUCCAGAGUGAGGCGGAAUCUCCAAGGGGCUCACAUGCUGUCUGUGGAAGAGUGGGCUGGCUUUUCUCCCCAGUGGGCAGCUGUUGAAGGUUUUGGAGCCCAAACAGCGUCGCAGCUCAGUUGUCUUUCAGGAGGAGUGUGGUUGUGGGUGGGGCCGGCUGGGUCAGGGCGGGGCCAUGUGGGCUGAGGUUUGAGCUGGGCCCUGCCACGUUGGGGCCACAUGGCGGCUGGUUGGAUAGGAGGGAGCCUCUGCCGACCAGCACCCCAGAUGUGGAGCCCCAGCUGCGGGAUGUGAGGUCUCAGGGUAACCAGGCAUCCAGACAUUGGGUCUGCGGUGUGAGGACCCCUGCGUCCCAGCUCCACAGCGCUGUGUGACAGGAUGUGGCAGCAGCUGAGUUGGCAGGGGAGGCAGGGUGACCUGAAAAGCAGGCUGGGACCAAAGCGUCUUGCAAAACCACACCUCGUCACCUUGCCUGGCUUGAGUGCUGUCCCAAGCCUCACCCUAGGCCCCCCAAUGGCUGGGCCAAGCAGUGGCCAGCACCUCACAGCCGCCAGAGGCCCUGGGCCACCUGGGCCUGGCUCGGCUUCUCGGGCCCAGAGCCCCUGCCUCCCUCUGCAGCCUCUCCUGGCUUGGUGAGUUAUGCAGGAGACACGGGUGGCUUCCACCCAGCUGGGGUGGUGCACACGAGUUAACACGCAGCCACCCACCUGUGCAGGUGCUGCAUACGUGUGCCCAUGUGCAUGCCUGUGUGUUCGUGUGUGCAUGCAGCGUGCACGUGUGUAUGUAUGUGCAUUCAUGCGUGUGUGGUGUACACAGGUGUGUGUGUGUGUAUGUGUGCGCAGGGGUGUGUAGGUGUGAGCCGCCUCCCUCCCCCAUCAGUGUCCCCGAUCGCCUCUGCAGACACGUGCGUGGUGUACACAGGUGUGUGUGUGUGUAUGUGUGCGCAGGGGUGUGUAGGUGUGAGCCGCCUCCCUCCCCCAUCAGUGUCCCCGAUCGCCUCUGCAGACACGUGUGUGGUGUACACAGGUGUGUGUGUGUGUAUGUGUGCGCAGGGGUGUGUAGGUGUGAGCCGCCUCCCUCCCCCAUCAGUGUCCCCGAUCGCCUCUGCAGACAUGUGCGUGGUGUACACAGGUAUGUGUGUGUGUGUGUAUGUGCGCGCAGGGGUGUGUAGGUGUGAGCCGCCUCCCUCCCCCAUCAGUGUCCCCGAUCGCCUCUGCAGACACGUGCGUGGUGUACACAGGUGUGUGUGUGUGUGUAUGUGUGCGCAGGGGUGUGUAGGUGUGAGCCGCCUCCCUCCGCCAUCAGUGUCCCCUCCCUCCCCCAUCAGUGUCCCCUCCCUCCCCCAUCAGUGUCCCCGAUCGCCUCUGCAGAGCUCCAUGAGGUCCUUGGCUGCAGUUGUCAUUUUUGCCUUCCUAGGAAAAAAGCAAAAAAGGCCAGAUGCAGCGGCUCGUUGCUGCAAUCCCAGCACUGUGGGAGGCCGAGGCAGGUGGAUCACCUGAGGUUGGGAGUUCAAGACCAGCCUGAUCAACAUGGAGAAACCUCAUCACUACUAAAAAUACAAAAUGAGCCGAUCAUGGUGGUGGGCGCCUGUAAUCCUUGGUACUUGGGAGGCUGAGGCCGGAGAAUUGCUUGAACCCAGGAGGCGGAGGUUUUGAUGAGCCAAGACUGCACUGUGGCAUUCCAGCCUGGGCAACAAGAGUGAAACUCUGUCUCGAAACAAGCCCACGAAAUCCGCAAACAGUAGUACCCGGCCAGUCCUCAUCCGGUCAGUGACCCGUGGCUUUCCAGACUCCUUCCUGACCGUCCCGGGUGCUGACGCUUGCUCGUUCGUUUCAUUGUUUGGGGGUUUAUGGCCUGAGGGGCCUUGUGACUUGGGUGCAGAGUUACCAAGGGGUGGUGGCUUCUGACCCAAGUGCAGGGCCCUGCUCGCCUCCUGCUGCUGUGUGAGGCCUGUGCCGGGGUGCAGGCUUGACGUGCGAGCUGGGCCUGUGCCGGGGGUAGCGUUAAGCACGUUCGGGGCCUGUGCCAGGUACAGGCUUCCAGUGUGCUGUUCUUGUGGCUUUCUGCGGGUGCUGUUUGCUAUUUCCAGGGGCUGCACCUUUCCAAACAAACCCAUAGAGCGGCCAUCUUUUAUAAUAGCGUUUUGUUAAAAAUAGUCUCAGCCAGGUGCGGUGGCUCACAUCUGUAACCCCAUCGCUUUGGGAGGCCGAGGAGGGUGGAUCAUGAGGUCAAGAGAUCGAGACCAGCCUGGCCAACAUGGUGAAACCCCAUCUCUACUGAAAAUACAAAAGUUAGCUGGGCGUGGGGGCGCACGCCUGUAAUCCCAGCUACUUGGGAGGCUGAGGCAGAAGAAUCACUUGAACCCGGGAGGUGUAGGUUG
Callithrix jacchus (white-tufted-ear marmoset) is the source of this 3391-nucleotide non-coding RNA. NCBI's taxonomy places the organism in Eukaryota, Metazoa, Chordata, Mammalia, Primates, Cebidae. The record is from RefSeq and is a predicted model, not a curated record.